Molecule: long non-coding RNA, 524 nt
Organism: Chiroxiphia lanceolata (lance-tailed manakin)
Lineage: Eukaryota; Metazoa; Chordata; Aves; Passeriformes; Pipridae
Exons: 2
Source: RefSeq, a predicted model, not a curated record
GAUGAGAAGCUGUUGUCGGCCACUGAAUGGUUUUUAAUUGGAUGGGAACCAGAGGAAAUGCUUUACCCUGGAAAACUCCCACCUUCCCUCUCCUGUGGAGCUGGAGCGUGUGCCGCCCGCUCUGUCCUACCGGGAUGGAAGCACUGCAGCAUCUGUGGGUCAAGGAGGAGGUUUCCACCUCAGGAAAGGACACAGAGACACCACCCAGCUUCCAAAUCACUGUUGGAAUGCCCAGGGACAGCUCAAGGGCUUUGGACUCGCUGAAGAUUUGGCCACAUGCUGGGGGCAAGCAGGUCCUGGGAGCUGGAGAGAUGAGGACAAGUGGAGGAAACGACUCUGCUCUGCUGAGAAGAACUUCAUUAAUGGUGUCAAAACAAGGCCCCAAAGCCAGCAGAUAAAUGAACUGGGUUUGUGCCACCUGCCCUCCAGCUGCAGCUUGUAUUCCCGAAGAAAACAAGACAAUGAGCACCACAAUACACUUCUCUUUUUGCCUGUGUAACUUUUAUUAAAUACCCUAAAAAGCU